Molecule: transfer RNA, 69 nt
Filed under: Nannobrachium ritteri (broadfin lampfish)
Lineage: Eukaryota; Metazoa; Chordata; Actinopteri; Myctophiformes; Myctophidae
Description: tRNA-Met
Source: RNAcentral
AGUAAAGUCAGCUAAACAAGCUAUUAGGCCCAUACCCUGAUCAUGUGGGUGAAAACCCUUCCUUUGCUA